Talpa occidentalis (Iberian mole) is the source of this 414-nucleotide long non-coding RNA. RefSeq lists it as uncharacterized. The transcript has 3 exons. The record is from RefSeq and is a predicted model, not a curated record. NCBI's taxonomy places the organism in Eukaryota, Metazoa, Chordata, Mammalia, Eulipotyphla, Talpidae.
AUCACUGUGGAUAUUGUUUCUGGAAGUUCCUUACUCUGACCCCUCUGCUAGGGAAUGCAUGGACUUCUGGUCCCAGAGGGUGUCUGCCGCUGAUAUUUUGCACAUCAUUACUAAAAUGGUUUUAAAAACAACAAGCAUGACAAACUCUGGGCUAGGGUACCCUUCAAUCAUUGAUCUUCUGAUUGAUUCAUGACUUAACAUGUAUUUACUGAGAACCUACAAUAAUGCCAGCAUCCUUAAGUGGCUCUUUGAGAAACACUACCUUGAACCAAAGGAGCAUCUUUUAAAUAAGGGAUAUACCUGUAUAUAGAGCAAGCUUAUUGCCUAAUUCAAAAAGUUCCCGAGAUGAAGCUCUAUACAAUUUUCUGUUCUCCCUAGUUUCUGCCAUACUAUUGCAUGUACAAUAAAUCCAGA